GUGCUCGCUUCGGCAGCACAUAUACUAAAAUUGGAACGAUACGGAGAAGAUUAGGAUGGCCCCUGCUCCAGGAUGACACGUGCAGAUUCGUGAAGCAUUCCAUAUUUUU
This is a small nuclear RNA of Erinaceus europaeus (western European hedgehog), 109 nucleotides long. The record is from Ensembl. Lineage: Eukaryota; Metazoa; Chordata; Mammalia; Eulipotyphla; Erinaceidae.